AAGGAUUUCACUUAAGUUGGUUGUCGAGAAAAUUGAGAAAAAGUGGCUUAGUUGCCCAAAGAGGAAAUAAAAAGGUGCUAAAAUGAAUUUCAAGAUAGUUUUUUUGCCCAAAAAAAAAAAGGCUCCCUUUAUUGCAUUGCACAUGAAAGAGGUAAAAAAAGCCAACAAUUCUUAGCUGGCAUUACAAUCAUUACUUAGCUGUUGGUAACGGUCAUUAGCUUUAAAUAAUGGCUUUUACAGUUACAAAUUUAAACUUUGUUAAAUAAUGGUGGUAAUGGUAACAGUAAGCCAAAAAACCUUUAAGCAAUGGCCGUUAUGUAACGUAACGGUUGUUAUUUAAAACCAUAAAUAUAUCUUAUUUAAUAUUUUUUUAGUAAUUUUAACUGCAAGUGUUUUUUUUUUUAACCAAAUGUGUCAGCUGCUUAUAGGCAAUUUAACUAAACAUGUAUUUGCUUAGAAUUUUAAAUGCUUUUAAAUUAGCUUAUAAGUUCUAAGUAUUUAUAAACUAAUUUUCAUGAGUUAAGCUAAACAUUUAUUCAUUUUUACCUCUAUUUUCAUUAUUAUGCAAUUUCUUGCAUUUCUUUGUUUUCAAUGUGUUUUCUCUGUUAAGAAUGGUUUUACUAGCAUUUGAACCCGAGAAACUAACAUCUCUCUGUAUAAUAGAAUUUUUAUGGUCAAAUAGGUUUUGUAUUAAUAAUUUGUCUCUUUGGAUGUUUAGUUCAUGAGUUGAUUUCUUAAAAAAAAUAAAAAAAUAAAUGAAAAAUUCUUAUGAUUAGCUUUCCUUAGCAUACUUAUUCUCCUAACUUUUGCAUUCUCCUUUCCAGGACCAUUUGGUCAAAACAUCUCAACAUUACCAAGGUAUGCUCUAGGCAAGAAGAAUUCAUUGUGUGCCAAUUCAUAAGAGGCUAAUAUAUAGAGAACUUAUUGCUAAAACUUCUGAUUGUUGGCCUUUUCAAUAUCUUAAAUGAUAAUAUCUGUCAAUCUUCAUUGGAUUUCAACCAUCUUACUGUGUUUUUUCUACUGUUCUCCCAAUUUAGUUUCUCAACAUUUCUGUGGGGUCAACAUAAAUAGCUAAAAAUAAUCCAGUGUUUUCAAUUAUGUUUUGAUCUUCUAUUUUGUUCAUCUUUUAUCUAAUUAUAUGCCUGUUUUACAAAAUCUUGCAAGUUUUGUGUGGUGCAUGUUGGGGAAGUGGGUGAGCAGUGCGCAAGCUACUUAUGAUUAUUUUUCAGUUGUGCUUAAUUGACCAUAUUUUUCAUGUACUCCCACCCUGCUCAAAUCUGCAACAUUUUUAAUUUGUGUCUUAACACUUAUCUAUGAUUUUCUCCUCAUUAAUGAUGUGACGACUCUUUCUCAAGUGACUAUUUGUUGAUGCUUUGUGGAUCAGAUACUAAUUCCUGAAAAUGAAAAUGUUGUCUUUCAAAGAAUAAGUGAUGUAGAUGACUUGCAUGAAUUUUUCAGAAAUAAUGGAGCAUAGUAAAUCUUAUGCACGAAAUACAAGCUUGGUCUGGAGAACAGAGUAGAAAGUUGUAUAGUAUCAAUUUCUAUGAGUUGGUAGUUUUAGUUGGGUACUUGGGUUAUAUUGUAUUAUCAGAGGAGUCAAAAGCAGAAUGGUAUUUAAUGGGUUUUUUAAUAUUAAAGUUGGAAAAAGUGUAUUCAUUUUAUUAUAAAAAAAAAUGCAUGAUUUGGUUUUCCUGUUUUGCUAGGUAGCACAUUAAUUAGUUGGCCUUGAAGAGCAUUUAGGAAUUACCUCCUGGGUGCUGGCCCAAAAGUUGAACCUUGCUCAAAAAGUUGGGGAACAAACCCACUUGCCAAAGGAGCAAACCUUUGGGGUUGCAUUGAGUACUUUAACUUGCUCGUUUUAAAUACCUUCCUUUUCUCUUUAUUUUCCCUUUUGUUUCAUCAAUUGUUAAUUCUGGAAACUCUGAUUGGUCUUUUCAUUGAAACAAUGAUUCAGCAUACAUUAGUUGCAAAAAUGAGUUCAAGAGGUGGGGGUGGAAGGGCUUCAACUGCUGGUGGUAGUAAUAAUGCAUCAUCCAGGGGGAAAAAUGCAUCAGAAGUCUCUAGCCCUAAGGCUGAGCAGUUGGGUCAAGGUGUGGUAGACAUUAGUUUGGAUGAUGGGGCAUGGGAGGUUAUGUCACGGAAGCCUAAGAACAGAGCUGGAAGCAGUG
RNAcentral lists this unclassified non-coding RNA (2168 nucleotides) under Hevea brasiliensis (rubber tree). The record is from RNAcentral. Lineage: Eukaryota; Viridiplantae; Streptophyta; Magnoliopsida; Malpighiales; Euphorbiaceae.